Molecule: small RNA, 78 nt
Filed under: Rhizobium sp. BK068
Lineage: Bacteria; Pseudomonadati; Pseudomonadota; Alphaproteobacteria; Hyphomicrobiales; Rhizobiaceae
Description: suhB
Rfam family: Alphaproteobacterial ar15 (bases 1-69)
Source: RNAcentral
AGCUGUUCCCCUCUGGAGGUUUUGACCUUCACACCUACAAGGGCCCCGAUCUUUCGGUGGCCCUCUUUUUUUGCCCGA